UACGUAGGGAGCAAGCGUUGUUCGGAUUUACUGGGCGUAAAGGGCGCGUAGGCGGCGUGUCAAGUCGAUUGUGAAAUCUCCGGGCUUAACUCGGAACGGCCAAUCGAUACUGACGUGCUAGAGUGCAGAAAGGGCAAUCGGAAUUCUUGGUGUAGCGGUGAAAUGCGUAGAUAUCAAGAGGAACACCUGAGACGAAGGCGGGUUGCUAGGCUGACACUGACGCCGAGUGCGCGAAAGCCAGGGGAGCAAACGGG
RNAcentral lists this ribosomal RNA (254 nucleotides) under uncultured bacterium. Its description in RNAcentral is "partial 16S ribosomal RNA". It matches the Rfam family "Bacterial small subunit ribosomal RNA", at positions 524 to 776 of the family's 1533-position model. The record is from RNAcentral.